GACGAACGCUGGCGGCGUGCUUAACACAUGCCAGUCGAACGGAAAGGCCCUGCUUUUGUGGGGUGCUCGAGUGGCGAACGGGGGAGUAACACGUGAGUAACCUGCCCUUGACUUUGGGAUAACUUCAGGAAACUGGGGCUAAUACCGGAUAGGAGCUCCUGCUGCAUGGUGGGGGUUGGAAAGUUUCGGCGGUUGGGGAUGGACUCGCGGCUUAUCAGCUUGUUGGUGGGGUAGUGGAUUACCAAGGCUUUGACGGGUAGCCGGCAUGGGAGGGUGGCCGGCGACAAUGGUACUGCGGUACGGCGCAGUCUGCUACGGGAGGCAGUAGGGGGGAAUAUUGCACAAUGGGCGGAAGCGUGAUGCAACAACGCCGCGUGCGGAAAGACGGCCUUCGGGUUGUAAACCGCUUUCGCCUGUGACGAAGCGUGAGUGACGGUAAUGGGUAAAGAAGCACCGGCUAACUACGUG
Molecule: ribosomal RNA, 468 nt
Filed under: uncultured bacterium
Lineage: Bacteria
Description: partial 16S ribosomal RNA
Rfam family: Bacterial small subunit ribosomal RNA
Source: RNAcentral